Long non-coding RNA from Chelonia mydas (Green sea turtle), 472 nucleotides. RefSeq lists it as uncharacterized. The record is from RefSeq and is a predicted model, not a curated record. Lineage: Eukaryota; Metazoa; Chordata; Testudines; Cheloniidae. The transcript is spliced from 3 exons.
AUUUUGCACCUAGCAGCCACAAGUGCCAUCUUGCUCCCUUGCAGCUGGAAUGAAUUCACAAGGAGAAGACUGACGAACUCCCAAGCAGUGGAGAUCAGACAUUUCCCUGCAAAAAGGCAUUAUCUCAGCUUUAAUACAAGAACGAGGUGUAUGGCGUUUCAACCACUUUUCCCUUAAGGAACAGAGUUUAAAUAUAAAGGAGAAGGAACAUGUGCCAGCACGUUUCCUGCCACAGCUUGCUUCCGGCUCCACUCCAGCUCAGCUGCACCGCCAGGAUGGGAAAGAGUGACAUCUCAAAUUGUCCUCCUGAUGAAGGGAGCCUACGCUGAAAAGUGAGGGUGAUUCUUCUGCCAUUUUGCUCUGGUCAGAAAAUGGCAUUUCCAUUCCAUGGGAAGUUCUGACAUUUCCAAGUGUGCUUUGUGCCAGGGGGAAUGAAAAGUUGAAAUUUUACAAUGGAAAUUCUGUUUCGAUA